This 250-nucleotide ribosomal RNA is filed under the name uncultured bacterium. Its description in RNAcentral is "partial 16S ribosomal RNA". It matches the Rfam family "Bacterial small subunit ribosomal RNA", at positions 524 to 773 of the family's 1533-position model. The record is from RNAcentral.
UACGUAGGUGGCAAGCGUUGUCCGGAUUUAUUGGGCGUAAAGCGAGCGCAGGCGGUUUCUUAAGUCUGAUGUGAAAGCCCCCGGCUCAACCGGGGAGGGUCAUUGGAAACUGGGAGGCUAGAGUGCAGGAGAGGAAAGCGGAAUUCCCAGUGUAGCGGUGAAAUGCGUAGAGAUUGGGAGGAACACCAGUGGCGAAGGCGGAUUACUGGACGACAACUGACGGUGAGGCGCGAAAGCGUGGGGAGCAAAC